RNAcentral lists this ribosomal RNA (275 nucleotides) under uncultured bacterium. RNAcentral's name for it is "partial 16S ribosomal RNA". It matches the Rfam family "Bacterial small subunit ribosomal RNA", at positions 332 to 624 of the family's 1533-position model. The record is from RNAcentral.
CGGACCCUACGGGACGCAGCAGUGGGGAGUAUUGCACAAUGGGGGAAACCCUGAUGCAGCGACGCCGCGUGAGCGAAGAAGUAUUACGGUAUGUAAAGCUCUAUCAGCAGGGAAGAAAAAUGACGGUACCUGAGUAAGAAGCACCGGCUAAAUACGUGCCAGCAGCCGCGGUAAUACGUAUGGUGCAAGCGUUAUCCGGAUUUACUGGGUGUAAAGGGAGCGCAGGCGGGGCGGCAAGUCUGAUGUGAAAGCCCGGGGCUCAACCCCGGGACUGC